GGCGGGGCGGGGCGGAGCGGGGCGGAGCGGGACCGUCAUGCCAGCGCUGCCCGGCGCCACCGCCAGUACCACGGCUGCUCGCCCCAUGGCGGCCCGCAGUAGCACCAUGACGGCCGGACGGGUCUACGACAUCGUGGUGUUCGGCGCCUCGGGCUUCACCGGCCAGUUCGUGGUGGAGGAGGUGGCGCGGGCGGCGGCGGCGACGGCUGCCGGCGAGGGGCAGCUGUGCAGCGGCCGCCUGCGCUGGGCCGUGGCCGGGCGGAGCCGCGAGAAGCUGCGGGCGGUGCUGGAGCGGGCGGCCGAGCGGCUGGGGAAGGCGGCGCCCGGGGAAGAGGUCGGCGUGGUGCUCUGCGAUGUGGGCGACGCGGGCUCGCUGGCCGCCAUGGCGAGGCAGACCCGGGUGGUGCUCAACUGCGUGGGCCCGUAUAGAUUCUUUGGAGAACCUGUGGUAGAAGCUUGUGUUGAAAAUGGUGCAAGCUGCAUUGACAUUAGUGGAGAACCCCAGUUCCUGGAAGGAAUGUACCUGAAAUACAAUGAAAGAGCUGCAGAAAAGGGAGUAUAUGUCAUUGGAAGCUGUGGCUUUGACUCCAUACCGGCCGAUAUGGGAGUACUGUACACCAGAGACAAGUUGAAAGGUACCUUAACUGCUGUUGAGAGUUUCCUGUCGGUGAAAUCUGGGCCUGAGGGUCUUGGUGUACAUGAUGGGACCUGGAAAUCAGCUGUCUAUGGCCUUGCAGAUGAAGCCAACCUGAAGAAGCUUCGAAAACAGAUAGGAUAUGCCCCUGUUCCAGUAGUUGGUGCAAAGCUUAAAAAAAGAGGAUUUAUGUUUUACAGUCCAGAAUUCAAGGAGUAUUGCAUUACAUUCAUGGGAUCUGAUGGUUCUGUUGUGAAAAGGACUCAGCGUUAUUUGUACACCGAGUUGCAGCAAACACCUGUCCAGUAUGGUGCUUACGUGACUGUAGGUGGUCUUGGCUCUGUUAUCAAGCUGAUGUUUCUGGGAAUGUUAUUUCUUCUUCUGGUGAAGUUUAACUUUGGAAGAAAACUUCUGACAAAAUACCCAGAAUUUUUCUCUGCUGGAUGCUUCACAAAGAAAGGACCAACCCAGAAGCAGAUGGAUGGAACCUCUUUUACAAUGACUUUUUUUGGUGAGGGUUACAGUGAGGGACAAGAUCUCCAGAAUGGCAAACCAAAUGUGAAAAUCUGCACUGAAGUGAAAGGACCAGAGCCUGGAUACAUUGCUACACCAAUUGCAAUGGUUCAAGCAGCUCUAUCUCUUCUGGAAGAUACAGCUUCUCUGCCUAAACGGGGUGGUGUAUAUUCUCCAGGAGCUGCCUUCUCAAAAACAAAACUGAUUGAUCGCCUCAACAAGCGUGGUGUUGAGUUCUCUGUUAUUAGCAAGCCUGAAGUCUGAAGUCGGAACGUAACUAACUGACCAUUUGCCACUGCCCAUGACCAGGAGCAGUUUUCCAGCACAAGAUUCUUUUGGGAGCUGGAGCGAUGCGUAUCUGAUCUCAGGAGGCUGGAUGCCACAAAAGAAGUAGAAGCUCUGCAUGGGGACUGCCAGCUCUCAUCCUGACCCACGGAGCCGGAAGGAACAGGAUGAACUACCAAAUCCAGCAACCUGUUAAAAUACACAUUUCAAACCAGGAACAUCAAUAAAUAAAUGAAAAAAAGCAUGCUAUGAUAGUCUCAAAUGCUGACAACAGGAACACUCAGUGAACAAGAAAUACAGGUGAACACUCACUGCUGGGGUGAUACAUUAGGCCCACAUGGAAGUGACAGGCAUUUAUUUUUGUUCGUCUGUCAAAGUCUGUACACCAAGAGCUUGGUGGUAGUCAAAGCUUUAGUUUCAGCGGUCUUAAACUUUGUAAGCACAUUUCUCAUCAUGUAAAUACAUGUAUUUGCCUAACUAAAAUUAUCAUAGCAGAAAAAUACGUUUCUCCAAAUACUCCUUAUGAUGAAUUGUGUCUCAAACAUUAUAUAUUUUAUGUGCAAAAAUGUAUUCACAUGUAUUCACUGUAUUCACAUGUACCUUCCCACCAAGACACUAACAUAAUUCAAACAGAUUUCUCUCCUCCUUUUUCUGUCUCCCAUCAAACACAUAGAACAAGGCUAAACUUUGUGAAAAGGCUGCUUACUUCUUAUAUUCUGAGAAAAUGGUUGUCUUGUUUCCUAGCCAUGCUUCUUUAAAUCUGGAUAGUACUUUAGUGAUUAAACUUGUUCUUAUAUGCACA
This is an RNA transcript of Vidua macroura (Pin-tailed whydah), 2234 nucleotides long. It is a transcript of the gene named saccharopine dehydrogenase (putative), with no coding region annotated. The transcript is spliced from 14 exons. NCBI's taxonomy places the organism in Eukaryota, Metazoa, Chordata, Aves, Passeriformes, Viduidae. The record is from RefSeq and is a predicted model, not a curated record.